RNAcentral lists this ribosomal RNA (788 nucleotides) under Pelobatrachus baluensis (Kinabulu horned frog). RNAcentral describes it as "Megophrys baluensis (Kinabulu horned frog) partial 16S ribosomal RNA". It matches the Rfam family "Bacterial large subunit ribosomal RNA", at positions 1249 to 2575 of the family's 2925-position model. Lineage: Eukaryota; Metazoa; Chordata; Amphibia; Anura; Megophryidae. The record is from RNAcentral.
GUACCAGUAUUGAGUCUUCCUAUAUUUUUAUAGAAGAGUUAAUGUUAGAACUAGUAACGCAGAAUUUUUUCUCCCCAUGUAAGUGUAAAUCAGAUCGAAUAAAUCACUGAUAAUUAUGCGGCAAUGAAACUAAUGUAACAACAACCCCACGAAAACCCUACUACUUCCCCCGUUAACCUAACACAAGAACAUUAAAGAAAGAUUAAAAGAUAAAGAAGGAACUCGGCAAAGCUAAGUCCCGCCUGUUUACCAAAAACAUCGCCUCUUGAAAAUUAUAUGAGGUAAUGCCUGCCCAGUGACCAUAAAUUCAACGGCCGCAGUAUUUUAACCGCGCGAAGGUAGCGUAAUCACUUGUUUUCUAAAUAAAGACUAGUAUGAACGGCCACACGAGGACUUAACUGUCUCCUUUAUCCAAUCAGUGAAACUGAUCUCCCCGUGCAGAAGCGGGGAUAACACCAUAAGACGAGAAGACCCUAUGGAGCUUUAAACCAAACUAACUAUCUUUUUCUUAACCCCAAGGGAUUAACAAACACAAGAUACUAUUAAUGUAUGUUUUAGGUUGGGGCGACCAUGGAGAAAAACUUAACCUUCCUGACGAUUGAUAAACCAAGAGCUACAGCUCUAAAUAUUAAGACACUUAACCCUUAUUGACCCACUUUGUGAUCAACGGACCAAGUUACCCUAGGGAUAACAGCGCAAUCCAUUUCAAGAGUCCCUAUCGACAAAUGGGUUUACGACCUCGAUGUUGGAUCAGGCACCCAAGUGGUGCAACCGCUACUAAAGGUUCG